Molecule: long non-coding RNA, 1404 nt
Filed under: Bos grunniens (domestic yak)
Lineage: Eukaryota; Metazoa; Chordata; Mammalia; Artiodactyla; Bovidae
Description: lncRNA (ENSBGRG00000026660.1)
Source: RNAcentral
AUUUAUAGGGAAACAUACCUAAUGGCCAAUGUCUGGACGGGUAAAUGAUGGAUGCCCCAGUAGUGCCCUGACCAGAGGAAGAGGAUUUAGGAAGGUAUUUUUCAGUUGGUUCUUUUGCACAUGGCUCCAAGCCGUAGUCUUCCACUCAAGGAAUCUUGUGAGGUGUGUGCUGAGCACGCCAGAGCCCAGAUAGGUGAGUCCUUAACCAAAAACCAAUCCACACCAGGGCGAGUCUCCUGGACGUGCCCACCAGGUAUGUCGCAAUAAUGACGCAUCGGAUGCCAGUGGUCAUGUGACGAUUUCCUAUAUUCCAAAUUCCAUUAAGACCAGCCCACCCUGUAAUUUCCUCAUCAGAAAUGCCUCACGGUUUCUCUGAUACAGAAUAAGCAAUAUGGUAUGCGUGUAAACCUGUCACAAAAUAAAACAAGAAUGCAUCCACACUGGAGCGAGACGGAGUGUGCCAGAGAUUAGGAAGUUCGGCUUUCUAAGCAGUUCAGCUUUAUUGUUCUGCCUCCCUUGAUGGCCCCGGCCCAACCCCACCCAGAACUCCAGGCUCCCCCAGAGGAUAGCAAACCCGCGUGUCCGUGGUUCACUCUGCUAGCUUCCUCGUAGUCCAUUUCCAAGACACAUGGAGUAAAAGGCCCAGGAGGACCCUCAGGCAGAGAACGACAAGAGUCUCUUUGGAUGUCCAUUUGUGUAUUUCACAGACACUCUCUCACCCUUGGCUUCGGUGGUCUUGCUCAGAGCUGCACAGACUCACACACGUGUGUCUUCAAUACCGGCCAAUUUGGGAUGGAGGAGAGGCAAAGGGAAUAGAAAGUACAGUCUCGUCCCAUAAGCACCUUCUAGAACUUCAGUGCCGAAGGACGAAAGACAAGCGAGAACACAGACCAAAUGAAAAAACUGGAAAUGAUGGUUUUCAUCAGGAGAUAAAAAUGUAUGUGAUUCCAUGAUAAAAAAAAAACAAAACAGGUAAUCCCUUCCCUAGACUUACUUCCUAGUAACUUUAGAGAAUAUAGUUGUUCCUGGAGAUACCCAUCCAUGACGGCACUCGGGACACCUAGGAGCAUUGAUCAGGUGACCAGACUCGCCCUUCUCUGAUUUUGCACAGGCAGGCUUGGAUCUGGGUCCUCUCAGUUCUCCAGUCCUUGCCGCAUCGUGCCUCCUUCCACCUCUGCUUUAUGACAUGUGCUUUAAGAAAAGGUUGGGGGGAAAAAAUCCUCAAAGGAUUGGGAAAUAGACCAUGAUGUAAAAAAGCUUUUGUGUUUGGUUUGGUUUUUGACUUGUGAAGAGUACUUUGGAUAGUUCAGGGUAAAAAAUGUAUCAGGGAGGAAAGUAGAGAGAAUUCCUGUGGAGUCCCAAGUGCCUCUGUGUUGUGGUUAGCCAAAAAGAAUGCGUCAGGUG